This 491-nucleotide ribosomal RNA is filed under the name uncultured bacterium. Its description in RNAcentral is "partial 16S ribosomal RNA". It matches the Rfam family "Bacterial small subunit ribosomal RNA", at positions 28 to 507 of the family's 1533-position model. The record is from RNAcentral.
GAUGAACGCUAGCGAUAGGCUUAACACAUGCCAGUCGAGGGGUAACGUGUUGGAAGCUUGCUUCCGAUGACGACGACCGGCGGAUGGGUGCGUAACGCGUAUGCAACUUGCCUCACAGUGGAGAAUAACCCGGAGAAAUCCGGACUAAUACUCCAUACACUCUUAAGUACGCCUGUACAUGAGAGGAAAGAUUUAUCGCUGUGAGAUAGGCAUGCGUCCUAUUAGGUAGUUGGUGAGGUAACGGCUCACCAAGCCGACGAUAGGUAGGGGUGCUGAGAGGCAGAUCCCCCACAUUGGGACUGAGACACGGCCCAAACUCCUACGGGAGGCAGCAGUGAGGAAUAUUGGUCAAUGGAGGAAACUCUGAACCAGCCAAGUCGCGUGAAGGAAGAAUGUCCUAAGGAUUGUAAACUUCUUUAGCGAGCGAGUAAGGACUUCCACGUGAUGGGAGUUUGAAAGUAGCUCGAGAAUAAGUAUCGGCUAACUCCGUG